RNAcentral lists this transfer RNA (71 nucleotides) under Marmota monax (woodchuck). RNAcentral describes it as "tRNA.Ala". The record is from RNAcentral. Lineage: Eukaryota; Metazoa; Chordata; Mammalia; Rodentia; Sciuridae.
GGGGUUGUGGCUCAGUGGUGGAGUGCUCCUCUAGCACAUGUGAGGCCCUGGGUUCGAUCAUCAGCACCACA